CUCAACCCUUCAUACUCUAUGAAACCUCCCAAGAUCAAAGGGAUUACCAUCAGUGACCUACCGAUGACGUAUAAAGUGAGACUACCAUGAGGGGAAUACCUCACCAAACACGACAGAUGGAUUCAGCGGAGCUGCAGCUACAUCUAGCCCGACAGGAGGAAUGGCUCGAUGAACUCUGCGACCUCUUCACCAGUCCAUUCCUUCUUCACCCAUAUCAGGUGCCACAGCCUCCUCUCGUUUAUCCUCCUCUAUAUCCAUGCCUAAUAAAUAUGAUGCUCCCCAGGGAAAUGUCAAGGAUUUUUCAUGCAGUGUAACCUGUACAUAGACCAUCACCCCGCU
Molecule: long non-coding RNA, 339 nt
Filed under: Salmo salar (Atlantic salmon)
Lineage: Eukaryota; Metazoa; Chordata; Actinopteri; Salmoniformes; Salmonidae
Description: lncRNA (ENSSSAG00000094528.1)
Source: RNAcentral